This is a long non-coding RNA of Mesocricetus auratus (golden hamster), 3599 nucleotides long. RefSeq lists it as uncharacterized. NCBI's taxonomy places the organism in Eukaryota, Metazoa, Chordata, Mammalia, Rodentia, Cricetidae. The record is from RefSeq and is a predicted model, not a curated record. The transcript is spliced from 2 exons.
UCUGAAAGAAAAUCAGCAUAGUUCCAAUGUCUAAGUAACCCAAUCAUUAUAAAACUUAGAGGUUUGAAAUGUAAACUUAAGAGUUUGAAAUGUAUAUAAAAAUCAAGCAUUUCCUUGUUAGAUAUAGUGGAGUCUAUGACAUAGCAACUAAAAGUUUCGAAUUCUCUAUGGACAGGAUAAGAAAGUGGUACUGGUCCAUGAACUACGUUUUGAGUAAGGAAUGUAAACACGGGAUCCUAGCACUUGGGAGGUGGAUUCAGCAAGAUCAUGAGCUGGAAGCUAGCCUGGACUACAUAAGGAGACUUGGUCUCAAGACAAAUUCAAUGCCAAACCAACCAACCAACCCAGCAAACAACCAACCCAAGUGCUCGUAGAAGAGUGUAACUGUUGAAAUGAGCCAAGAUUAUUGAGUCUACGGGGUCAAGGAGAGAAAUGGAAAUACUACUACCCAGAGUUAUGCCUUGCCACUCACUACCAAAAUUUUGCUUCCUCCUCCCAGCCCUGAUCUUACGUUGUUGGCCCAGAAGUAUUGCUUCCUCUGGGGAAAGUGCUUCUAAAUGGAGGUACAACCAUUGCAUUGAACAGGGCACUAAGACUUCCACAGGGCUACUUUCUCAUGGCACUGAGUCAACAGGCUUAGAAAAGAGUUCUAUUUGAGCAGGAAUGACUGAUCUAGACGAUUAAAGAGAAAUGGGACUAUUUCUCCAAAAUGGAGGUAAGAGAGAACAUUUCUGAACUGCAAGCAAUCCCACAGGGUGUCUCAGAAUAUUAGCAGGCCCUACUUACCAUUAAAGUCAAUGGGAACUACAAUAACCCAAUCUAGGCAGAAUGAUAAACACGCCAGACAGAAGCUGUGGGUAGAGAACCAAGGUCUAUUGUACUUGCAGAGAGUGGAAGAAAUACAGAAUAGGUAGAAGGUAGUCAUAAACAUUAGUUAGGGGCACGUGACUAGUUCUAGAAAGAAGAUCUAAUUUGUUAAGAAUGUUUAUACACACACACACACACACACACACACACACACACACACACAGAAUUUUCCCAGUCUUUUAUACAGAGAGAGAGAGACAGAGACAGAGACAGAGAGAGAGAGACAGAGACAGAGAGAGAGAGAGAAUUUUUCAAGUCUUUUAUACUAUAACAGAACAUUGAGUCAAGCACAAGUACUUAACUGGAAAAACUUUGUAUUAUCAUUUUAAGUUCUGGGAUGUCAAAAGAUCAAGCAUCCCUCAAGAGAUUUUCCCACCUAUACUACGGAAAGAAUCUGGGUGUUUUCAGUUGUUUUUGGAAGAGUUGUAUUAGGAGAAAUCAUGACUCUUUAAUUCACAUUAUUUGACAUUUAAGCAUGUCAGGACAUGUGGUUGAAUACUGACAAGAGAUGGACUGAUGGUUAGUUUUGACUGUCAACUUGAAUGGAGUAAACAAUGCUUAGAGCUGAGUGUCUGUGAAUGUAUAACAUAAAGUGUAUGAUCAUGGGCUGUUUACAUCUGUUGAAAGUGGACUCUGAGGGCAAGGAGGGCCCUCUUUCCAGACUCCAGGAUGUAUAUUUCAAGUUUUCUCCAAAUUCCCUGUUCUGGGGCAGGCUUAGUACCCAACUAUACAACACACAGAAAAGAGACUAGCAGACAGCAAAGGGGUGUUAAAUAACAAAGCUGGAAGAUACAGACUAUUUCCAAUUGGGGGUACUGUUGUUUAUCACAUUGUAUAAAAUGCCUGGAUUGGGAAUAAGAAACUGGAAGCUCAGGCAUGAAGAGUUAGUUCUCAGUCUAAAAUUUUUUGCUUUGGAACUGCAGUAUGGCUUCCAUAGUCAUUUCUCAUGGACGUUGCAAUUGCCGGAUUUUUGGGCUAUCCAGUGGCUCUGAUAGAUGUUGCAAGGGUCCAGUUUUAUGAUGUUUUGCUGUUUUUGUCUGUUGUGCUUAUCUACAGCUUGCUAUUUGUUCUUUUACUUUUCCUUGCUACAAUUUAAUAAACUCACUCAUUUGAAAACCAAAGUACCAAAGUACAGCUACUGUAGAUCAUUCUCCAGAAAGAACAGCGUGGACUACCAGAAAGGAAUGACAAGUGGGUCAGUGAUUAGGAGAGAACCUCAAUGUUUGUUUUUGUUUUUCCAAUGAAAAAGCAUCGUGUGUUGUACCUGCUGUCCUUUUUCUUUCAGCAAGUACAUCUAUUAUUGUGGUUGUAAUUUUCUAACAUUCUGGUUUCUUUGGCCUUUCAAUGUGACUCAAUGCCAAGGUACUCUCCAGGGAACAUGGAGACCUACAAUUAUAUUGUAAUUGCAGAGGCACCAAUCUUCUUAGAAGGAGCAGCUAUUGUGCUCUCUGCUUCUCCAGUGUGCAGAUGACCAUUGGACUACUCAGCCCCUACUGUGUAAGCAAAUCUAAUACAUUCCUCUUCUAAAGAACCCUGUCUAUUAUAGAGCCAACACCGUUCCAAGUAAGACAUGCAAAUAUGACUGCAAGCCACAAAUUCCUGGCUCUUCUUGUUAAGGAUAUAUUUCCUGAUGUUGUCCACAAGUAAAACACAAUAAUAUAUUUGCCUACAGUGAAAUAGGAAAUAGUGACUACCUGACUUUGCAUAUCAAUUCCUCUGAUAUUUGAACCAAAUAAUAAAUCACAGAUAAAGUUUAGUUAAGUUUUUCAAAUUCAGUGUUGAUUUCUUUUACACAGUUAAGCUAAAAUAUUUGUUAUGUAAUACUGUCCAUCAACCCACACUUAUGGUUUAUCUAAACCCAAAUUAAAAUUUAGUAAAGAUAUUUUCUAGCCAGGCGGUGGUGGCGCACACCUUUAAUCCCAGCAUUUGGGAGGCAGAGGCAGGCGGGUCUCUGUGAGUUCGAGACCAGCCUGGUCUACAAGAGCUAUUUCCAAGACAGCCUCUAAAGCCACAGAGAAACCCUGUCUCCAAACCACCCCUCCCCAAAAGAUAUUUUCUAAGAAACAACAACAGGACAUCAAACCAAAUACCCCCCCAACCCAAAUAAAUGACCCCUACGCCCCUGUAAUUCAUAAGAGAGACGAUAAAAUGCUUUAAUUACUUACCUUGUAUGUCUGGAAGGUACUUCUGGUACUGAUCAAUUUCACUGCUAAAAAUAGCAAAGGCCAAUCUUUUGAGAAGCAUUGCUCUCUGUUCUAGCUCCACAUCCCGAUUUGCAAAAAGAUUGAGAGAACUGCUUUGGGCCACAGCUACUCGAGCUAUAAAAAGGAAUGAAGGAGAGGCAUUCCAGUCAUCUGAAAGCAACCAUUUCUUAAUUAAAAUCAGUGACUACCUCAUGACAUACACACUGAGAGGAAUAUAGCAGAGGACCUGGACCUUUCUCUGGUGCAGAAAAGCAGACAGUCUGAGCAUACACAUGCCUGAAGGUCAAAUGGCAGGAUUUUGAUGUAGACAGACAAGAAUACUUAGAACUGUGGGUUUUAGAGGGAAAAAUGUCUAAUAAUACUAUUUUGUAACUCCUAUCUGCUCAAAUAUUUCGUUAAAUCUUUUGUAUUAUUUUAAAAAAUAAUUUCUAGAGAAACCUAGCUUGGUCUGAUUUCCUGUUCUUCAUUUAGCUCCUUGUUCCUAACUUCCUCUAUGACAUAAACUCACCAAGUUUGCUCCCAUCCCAA